Molecule: long non-coding RNA, 1499 nt
Organism: Helianthus annuus (common sunflower)
Lineage: Eukaryota; Viridiplantae; Streptophyta; Magnoliopsida; Asterales; Asteraceae
Exons: 2
Source: RefSeq, a predicted model, not a curated record
GAUGAUAUAUUUAUUUACACGUAAACGAUAUACAUUCUCAUGUAUUUCUUUCUUCUCCCCCACUCAAAAUCACAUUGUAAAGGCUUCACUCCCACAAAUCAUUCAUUAUGCAUGCUCUUAGAAUUUCUCUCUGAAACAUCUCCCACCCUCUCAAAACACUCUGAUGAUUUCGACGAUCUGAGACUGCCAUUGCCGGUCACCGGACGACCAGACGCAGCGCGGAUCGUUCGACACGACUUCCAUUUCCGUCUCCCAGGUACCAAUAAUCGACGAUCUUAUUUUGAAUCAUGAUUCUGUGAAGAAAAUGAACAUCACUGACUGACUCGACCCGCAUCCUUUUUGACUUCUCAGUUAGGGUUUCUUAAUUUUUUUUGAUAAAGCCUCAAAAUUGUUUGUUUAAAGAUUGUGGUGAAGUUUCGGUGAUUUCUUAAAACCCCCGGUAAUAUUCAUCAUCCAUUUUAAGUUGUGUUUUUUGGUUUUCUACAAUUUUGUAUAUAAUUGAUUGAAUUCAAGCUUUGAUGUGCAGAUCUUUCAAAACCACAAAGAUUUGUGCAGUCUUAUUAUUUCAAUUGUUUUCGGGUGAAGUAUAAAAAUUCUUUGUUGAAAUAGUAAAAGCAUAGAUCUUGCAAAUAUUCUUUCUUUAUAAUGCUGUGCAUUAGUUUUUGAUAUCAUGUGAUGUGAUGUUUUACCCUUUUAAUUAUAUUUCUCUUUGAUAUAUGUGACCAUGAUGAGCACUUGAGCGAUCGGAUUCAGUUUGUCAGGUUAGCCAUUGAUCAAACCAUUUAGUUGACAAAGAUUCUAUUUUUUAAGGAAGGUUAGCUAAUUAGCCUCUACAUCAGGUGAGCUGGGUUGGGUUGUUAGUAUACAUUGGUAGAGGUGUAAUUACGAGCCUAGUCGAGCUGAGCCGGAGGAGCUUAGUUUCUAAUGCUCGAGCUAGGCUUGUUAGUAGUUUCUUCAAGCUUGAGUUCGGCUGCAAUUAAUGUAUAUCCAUUCAGGUGCAAGACUGGUUGUACCCGGCCUGAUGGUGAAGCUGCUUCUGCUACUCAAUUUCUAGAUUACUUGAAUCAAUUGAAAGCUAUUGGCGACCCUACUUUUUCAGGAUAAAAUUGGAAGAGAGCUCACCUAAAUGCAAAAGGAAGUGAGUGGUGCGCCGGUUGAUGAUGAGGAAGAACGUCUAUUACAUGCCCUUGGUGAUAGGUGUGCUUGGAGCUAGAGGAUUGGGUGAAAAGUGCAAGUGUAGCCCCCGAGAUAUGUCGUGUGUCUUCAACUCACCAUCACUAUUCGAAUGCAAUUAAAUGAGAGAAACCAUCCGCCUAAUGAAUGAAAGCAUGCAAUGGAUGCAAGGUGAGAUCAAUAAUCUAAAUAGACGCGGGUCUUCAAUGCAAGACGAAGAUGAUUGUUAGUUUUUUAUGACACUCUGAUGGUUUGUAUUAGAACCAAUUAAAUAAUGUACUUGAUGAUUUUUAAUUAUAAUCAGUUGUGAUUUUUCCAGUUUUUAA